UAAAUGGUCUAUUCGCUU
This 18-nucleotide small nuclear RNA is filed under the name Arabidopsis thaliana (thale cress). Its description in RNAcentral is "snRNA_09116". Lineage: Eukaryota; Viridiplantae; Streptophyta; Magnoliopsida; Brassicales; Brassicaceae. The record is from RNAcentral.